Molecule: ribosomal RNA, 174 nt
Filed under: Anoxybacillus sp. ST70
Lineage: Bacteria; Bacillati; Bacillota; Bacilli; Caryophanales; Anoxybacillaceae
Description: partial 23S ribosomal RNA
Rfam family: Bacterial large subunit ribosomal RNA
Source: RNAcentral
AGUUAAGUUAGAAAGGGCGCACGGUGGAUGCCUUGGCACUAGGAGCUGAUGAAGGACGGGACAAACACCGAUAUGCUUCGGGGAGCUGUAAGUAAGCGUUGAUCCGGAGAUUUCCGAAUGGGGGAACCCACUGUCCGUAAUGGGGCAGUAUCCACACGUGAAUACAUAGCGUAU